UGCGGGGGGGGCAAGCGUUGUUCGGAAUUACUGGGCGUAAAGGGCUCGUAGGUGGCCAACUAAGUCAGACGUGAAAUCCCUCGGCUUAACCGGGGAACUGCGUCUGAUACUGGAUGGCUUGAGUUCGGGAGAGGGAUGCGGAAUUCCAGGUGUAGCGGUGAGAUGCGUAGAUAUUCGGAAGAACACCAGUGGCGAAGGCGGCUCACUGGACUGGUAUUGACGCUGAGGUGCGAAAGCGUGGGGAGCAAACAGG
This 253-nucleotide ribosomal RNA is filed under the name uncultured bacterium. RNAcentral's name for it is "partial 16S ribosomal RNA". It matches the Rfam family "Bacterial small subunit ribosomal RNA", at positions 524 to 776 of the family's 1533-position model. The record is from RNAcentral.